RNAcentral lists this ribosomal RNA (256 nucleotides) under uncultured bacterium. RNAcentral describes it as "partial 16S ribosomal RNA". It matches the Rfam family "Bacterial small subunit ribosomal RNA", at positions 521 to 776 of the family's 1533-position model. The record is from RNAcentral.
UAAUACGGAGGGUGCGAGCGUUGUCCGGAAUCACUGGGCGUAAAGGGCGCGUAGGCGGUCUGCUAAGCGUGUGGUGAAAGCUCGGGGCUCAACCCCGAGUCUGCCAUGCGAACUGGUGGACUGGAGCACUGUAGAGGCAGGUGGAAUUCCGGGUGUAGCGGUGGAAUGCGUAGAGAUCCGGAAGAACACCAGUGGCGAAGGCGGCCUGCUGGGCAGUUGCUGACGCUGAGGCGCGAUAGCGUGGGGAGCAAACAGG